This 1504-nucleotide ribosomal RNA is filed under the name Helicobacter pylori. RNAcentral describes it as "bacterial SSU rRNA". It matches the Rfam family "Bacterial small subunit ribosomal RNA". The record is from RNAcentral. Lineage: Bacteria; Pseudomonadati; Campylobacterota; Epsilonproteobacteria; Campylobacterales; Helicobacteraceae.
UUUAUGGAGAGUUUGAUCCUGGCUCAGAGUGAACGCUGGCGGCGUGCCUAAUACAUGCAAGUCGAACGAUGAAGCUUCUAGCUUGCUAGAAUGCUGAUUAGUGGCGCACGGGUGAGUAACGCAUAGGUCAUGUGCCUCUUAGUUUGGGAUAGCCAUUGGAAACGAUGAUUAAUACCAGAUACUCCCUACGGGGGAAAGAUUUAUCGCUAAGAGAUCAGCCUAUGUCCUAUCAGCUUGUUGGUAAGGUAAUGGCUUACCAAGGCUAUGACGGGUAUCCGGCCUGAGAGGGUGAACGGACACACUGGAACUGAGACACGGUCCAGACUCCUACGGGAGGCAGCAGUAGGGAAUAUUGCUCAAUGGGGGAAACCCUGAAGCAGCAACGCCGCGUGGAGGAUGAAGGUUUUAGGAUUGUAAACUCCUUUUGUUAGAGAAGAUAAUGACGGUAUCUAACGAAUAAGCACCGGCUAACUCCGUGCCAGCAGCCGCGGUAAUACGGAGGGUGCAAGCGUUACUCGGAAUCACUGGGCGUAAAGAGCGCGUAGGCGGGAUAGUCAGUCAGGUGUGAAAUCCUAUGGCUUAACCAUAGAACUGCAUUUGAAACUACUAUUCUAGAGUGUGGGAGAGGUAGGUGGAAUUCUUGGUGUAGGGGUAAAAUCCGUAGAGAUCAAGAGGAAUACUCAUUGCGAAGGCGACCUGCUGGAACAUUACUGACGCUGAUUGUGCGAAAGCGUGGGGAGCAAACAGGAUUAGAUACCCUGGUAGUCCACGCCCUAAACGAUGGAUGCUAGUUGUUGGAGGGCUUAGUCUCUCCAGUAAUGCAGCUAACGCAUUAAGCAUCCCGCCUGGGGAGUACGGUCGCAAGAUUAAAACUCAAAGGAAUAGACGGGGACCCGCACAAGCGGUGGAGCAUGUGGUUUAAUUCGAAGAUACACGAAGAACCUUACCUAGGCUUGACAUUGAGAGAAUCCGCUAGAAAUAGUGGAGUGUCUAGCUUGCUAGACCUUGAAAACAGGUGCUGCACGGCUGUCGUCAGCUCGUGUCGUGAGAUGUUGGGUUAAGUCCCGCAACGAGCGCAACCCCCUUUCUUAGUUGCUAACAGGUCAUGCUGAGAACUCUAAGGAUACUGCCUCCGUAAGGAGGAGGAAGGUGGGGACGACGUCAAGUCAUCAUGGCCCUUACGCCUAGGGCUACACACGUGCUACAAUGGGGUGCACAAAGAGAAGCAAUACUGCGAAGUGGAGCCAAUCUUCAAAACGCCUCUCAGUUCGGAUUGUAGGCUGCAACUCGCCUGCAUGAAGCUGGAAUCGCUAGUAAUCGCAAAUCAGCCAUGUUGCGGUGAAUACGUUCCCGGGUCUUGUACUCACCGCCCGUCACACCAUGGGAGUUGUGUUUGCCUUAAGUCAGGAUGCUAAACUAGCUACUGCCCACGGCACACACAGCGACUGGGGUGAAGUCGUAACAAGGUAACCGUAGGUGAACCUGCGGUUGGAUCACCUCCUUU